This 262-nucleotide long non-coding RNA is filed under the name Urocitellus parryii (Arctic ground squirrel). RNAcentral's name for it is "lncRNA (ENSUPAG00010011007.1)". The record is from RNAcentral. Lineage: Eukaryota; Metazoa; Chordata; Mammalia; Rodentia; Sciuridae.
AGGGACUCUGAGCAACAUGUUCACCUUGCCUAAAAUUCAAGUUCUCCCCACUCUGAUCCCGGGUGCUGAGAUCAGUGCGUACGCGUGUGGCUCUUGAUUACCAGACAAGUCCGUGGACGGGGAUGGCAGAGUCUGGGAACCUCUUCUUGGAACUGUGUAAACCCACCUGCAGCCAGAAGGAUACUUAUUUCAAGUCUUGCUUCAGUGACUCCUAAAAGCACUUUUGAGAGGAGAGGGAUAUGAACUGAGAAAGGAGGAGUAG